UACGGAGGGUGCAAGCGUUGUCCGGAUUUAUUGGGUUUAAAGGGUGCGUAGGCGGCGUCAUAAGUCCGUGGUGAAAGCCAACAGCUCAACUGUUGAACUGCCAUGGAUACUGUGAGGCUUGAGUACAGACGAGGUAGGCGGAAUGGAUCGUGUAGCGGUGAAAUGCAUAGAUACGAUCCAGAACUCCGAUUGCGAAGGCAGCUUACUAGGCUGUAACUGACGCUGAGGCACGAAAGCGUGGGGAGCGAACAGG
Molecule: ribosomal RNA, 253 nt
Filed under: uncultured bacterium
Lineage: Bacteria
Also listed under: 1 other name
Description: partial 16S ribosomal RNA
Rfam family: Bacterial small subunit ribosomal RNA
Source: RNAcentral